UAACAAUUAUGCUGUAGAUUGAAGAGGAAUAAGAAGACGAAGAGCAUCGACCAUGGCGAUGCAUAAGCUCAUAACUCGUGGAGCAGCUCGUGCGGUUCCAGGCUCAUCUUCUUCCGCAAAUCCUUUCCGUGCUCUAGGCAACGCUCUUAUCGGUUCUUCUUCCAAGACUUAGGUUUUCGUUUGAUUCACAAGCAGGAAAGAUUGAAGGAGAUACCUCAUCCACGCCCACAGCUUCUGAGCCGUAAUUUUGUCCAAACACUUAUGGCCACAUACUGCACCAGAUCUGAGAGAACGCUCACAAGGAUGAGCUUAAGAAGAACGAAGAUAUCAUUUCAAGGUCAGCCGAAUCAUAUUGAUGUCAGGACAGUAAAUGGAUACGGUCAUGGGGAUGAUUACAGAGGAAACAACGAAUCACAGAUGACUAAAUAUUCUAGGGAGGCAUUAAUUCAGCUCUUAAAUCUGGUGCAGUUGAAAUUACAUCCUAGGUAUAAAUCUCUAUAUACAAGCUACAGUUAUUCAACAGAACAUGAUUUGGAGCACCCUUAGGAUGUGGUCAUCCUGCAUCAAGCUGUAGAACCUUUUUUCCAAUUUUAAGUAACAUUCUGGCACUUAAUUUUAGCAUUCGAGCAUUUUGUUUCCCCUUUUAUUUCAGAUUUUUAUAAAGUAGAGUGUCCGCUUUGACAAGAUAUCAAUUUUUGAUGAAGUUUUCAAGCUAAUGUCACGGUUAGACUUGGUGGUAGACUUUUCUGAAUUCUCCCGCUUCUAUGAUUUUGUUUUCUUUAUGUGCCAUGAAAAUGGUCAGAAAAAUAUCACUGUAAAUAAGGCGAUUACUGCAUGGAGGUUAGUAUUAGCUGGGAGGUUUCGGUUGCUGAAUCAAUGGUGUGAUUUUGUUGAGGUUUGAGACUUGAAGUUUGUUGAUCAAUAACAUAUUUGUCAAGGUAGAUACCCCUGCAUAGAUUAUCCAUGAAUAAAAUUAGCAAGAAUGUGUUCAUUUUAAAACUUUAGAUGCUAAUGUUGGAUAAUUGAGAGGAGUAAUGUGGUAAAUGUUGUACCAAUAUUUCAUAAUUUUCAGCAAUUUAGAACUUCUCCUUUCCAAAGCUUGGCCACUGCGAAUUUUGGUAUUGCCAAUGGAUGCCACAGCUAGUGGAACCCCAACUAUACAAUACCAUAACAUUCUUGACCAGCUAAUUACCACUAUUGUUGUUGCCACUCAUGUACCAACAUUCAAAAUGAGGCAAUGCCAUCGCUUUGGGACCUUAAUCCCCAUAGAACUCUCUUUAGCUGCCAACCCCUCAAUUGUCCUUCAUGUCCUUACUGCAUGCAAUUUGGAUCCUUAAGACCUUGCAAAGCUAGAGGCAAGUGACCUGUUGCUCUAAAGUUUGGCAAUGUAUUGGUCUUUUAAAUCUUAGAAUUGAUAAUGCUGCUGGUUUGAUUUUGGAUGUGUGUGUUGCAGGCAAUAUGCUCAUUUUUCUGGCAGUCUGCAAACUUUGCUCCUGACUUUGAAUUGUCCAUAUCAGAGCUUGCUACUUUGGACAUGUGCCAAAAAAGUGGUAUAUUUAAGCCAAUGACAGUGGAGAAACGUCAAGAAUUAAAGCAAAGAUGUGGGGGUUUCAUGAAAACUGGUCUUGAAGUUCUUGUUGGCUAGAGAGGCAUGUUUCAGAAGGGAGAAAUCACAGGCAAUAGCAGGGCUGGGUCACAGCAUUACUGUAACUUCAAAAUGAGCUAUGUAUUCAUUUAGCUCUAACAACUCAGGACAGCUUGGACAUGGCACCACUGAAGAGGAAAGGAGGCCUCGGCAAAUUAGAUCUUUGCAAGGCAUUCAAAUUGUUCAAGCAGCUGCUGGGGCUGGCAGGACAAUGAUGAUCAGUGAUGCUGGGAAAGUUUAUGCCUUUGGACAGGACUCAAGAUGAUUCUAUGACAUAGUAAUAACAAGAUAGUUCUAUGACAUAGUAUAAA
Molecule: non-coding RNA, 1956 nt
Organism: Prunus avium (sweet cherry)
Lineage: Eukaryota; Viridiplantae; Streptophyta; Magnoliopsida; Rosales; Rosaceae
Source: RefSeq, a predicted model, not a curated record